Long non-coding RNA from Empidonax traillii (willow flycatcher), 1124 nucleotides. RefSeq lists it as uncharacterized. The record is from RefSeq and is a predicted model, not a curated record. NCBI's taxonomy places the organism in Eukaryota, Metazoa, Chordata, Aves, Passeriformes, Tyrannidae. The transcript has 6 exons.
GAUCAAUUUCUCUGUCCUGCAAGUCUGUGGAGACUCAAGUGGACAUAUUUCACCACAGUAACAGUUCCCUUCUAGCUCCAUGAAAGAGAGAGGGAAGUACAGGUUGCUUUUUUGUGUAUGAGGUGCCUACAAUUUCUACCACUUUUAAUCACUUUUCUAUUCUUACAUGCCUAUGGCAUCUCUGAUGAUGGUUUUGCUAGAAAAAUGUUAUUACCAUCUUAAUCAUAACACUUAAAUAACACUAAAAAUUGCACAGUGAAACCUUUGGAGAGUGAGGAAGAUUCCGUUCAAGACCUGUACAUAUGGACUCAUUCUGAGGAAAAAAUAAAUUUCCUGCUCACAACGCAGUAUUUUGUGCUUGUAAUUACACGACAUGAGAGACAUUCAUAAAUGAAUUUUGAUGCCCCUAUUUUUACUACAAUUUCAGUAGCCUGGAGAAAAUGGAUAAUCACAUCUCACAAAGUUUUCUGAUAUUUGUGCCUUUUUGCUCAAAAAGAGGACCGAGACACCACAGAUGCAACUAGGUGUCCACUGCAAAAAUUGUCUGGUAUCCCUAGAGAUGCAUAUCCUUCAGUAACCAGGAAAGAAGGGAAAGGAGAGCAGAAACGAGUGGCCUGAAGUCAUACAGCAGGAAAUAUUUUCUUGGAGAUGAGACCAAGACUCAGUCUUCAACACUGUCAAUGCACAGAACUUCAGCAGGAAAAGGUACAGUCAGAACUGGCAAUAAGCUCUCAGGAGCAGCUACACACCCAGGACCUUGUUCUUCCUGCAGUUCAGGCACCCUGCAAAGCCAGAGCCACCCCUGCUUUACUCAGCUUUUCUAUUCACAAGGGAAAUAUUCAAUUAGGAAACUCCUAUGGAGCAGAGGGGGAACUCAGCAGGUGAGGAGUCAAAAUCUCUGCAAUCAGCACUGAUAAAGGGCUGUUAUUUUGACAAACGGGAUAAAAAUAAAAAGCAUAAAAGGCUGCAGCAGGAGGCCUGAAACAGACACUGAGCACUCUCCUUACUUAGUGAGGAUGUGUUUGCCAUGAGCAUGUAGGAUGGCAAAUGAGCUGCCCAAAGCUGUUUUCUGUGGCUCACUGAAGCAUGAUGACUGGGGAAGCACAUGUUAAAAGGCCACACUC